Molecule: ribosomal RNA, 198 nt
Filed under: Staphylococcus haemolyticus
Lineage: Bacteria; Bacillati; Bacillota; Bacilli; Caryophanales; Staphylococcaceae
Description: partial 23S rRNA
Source: RNAcentral
UUUCCAACCCUCUGUGGGAUGCUUUUCUCACCCCCGCUACUUAUUAGGGGGCGACCGCCCCCGGCAAACUGCCCUCCUGAGACUGGCUCCCACCAAUAAGUGGCGCAGGUUAUAAAGCCAUCCCCUAGGGUAGUCAGCGCCUCCGCGUAAAGCGCUCACGUUUCAAAGUACUAUCCUGUACGAUGUGCAAUUUCAAUA